GAUCUCCCAUCAUCACAUUCAGGCCCCUCCUCACGAACCAGUCGUAGUAGACUUGGGCAGCUCAUCCGGUUGCUGCUAGGUCCCUCUCGGUUUGAGGCAAGGGUUUUUGUCAACCGCUUGAGAUUUUUCUCAAUUAGUCGCAUCUUAUUGAUCAACUCGAUUUCCAUUCAGUUGAAGCUAUCUUGUAGUCCGCCAAGGCUAGCUUCUAGAUUCUCGAUUCGUUCUUUGUUGGAGACAAUUUCAACAAGCUCUGAUACCAAUGAUAGGUCCCAGUUAUAGCUCUAAAGAAUUACCGGGUUUUUUUUUUGUAGUGAGAAUUACUAAUAGAAAUUUGUGGAAAUUUUGAUAUGCCUUUAUUGAUGAAAUUGUGCGUUCUUAAAUACACAGAGAUUCAACAAUAAUUUCCUACUCCUAUGGUACAGAUAAGAAGAGAAGAUGCAGAAAAAUCAAAUGCUAGUGGAGUUGUAGGAGAGCACAUCACAGGAUGGCUGUAUGGACCGAUUCUCCAAGCGCCCAUGUUUCUGUUGUGCUGCCAUUGAGACUGGCUCUUCAUCCGGGUUGAUUUCUUUAGA
RNAcentral lists this long non-coding RNA (572 nucleotides) under Carica papaya (papaya). Its description in RNAcentral is "long non-coding RNA (CPAP_LNC007722)". The record is from RNAcentral. Lineage: Eukaryota; Viridiplantae; Streptophyta; Magnoliopsida; Brassicales; Caricaceae.